GCGGGGGUGGCCGAGUCAGGUCAAAGGCGCAGGGCUUAGGACCCUGUGGCGUAGGCCUGCGUGGGUUCAAAUCCCACCCCCCGCACCA
This 88-nucleotide transfer RNA is filed under the name Candidatus Bathyarchaeota archaeon. RNAcentral describes it as "tRNA-Leu". It matches the Rfam family "tRNA". Rfam says of the family: Transfer RNA (tRNA) molecules are approximately 80 nucleotides in length. Their secondary structure includes four short double-helical elements and three loops (D, anti-codon, and T loops). Further hydrogen bonds mediate the characteristic L-shaped molecular structure. tRNAs have two regions of fundamental functional importance: the anti-codon, which is responsible for specific mRNA codon recognition, and the 3' end, to which the tRNAs corresponding amino acid is attached (by aminoacyl-tRNA synthetases). tRNAs cope with the degeneracy of the genetic code in two manners: having more than one tRNA (with a specific anti-codon) for a particular amino acid; and 'wobble' base-pairing, i.e. permitting non-standard base-pairing at the 3rd anti-codon position. RNAcentral also lists the same sequence under 6 other names. Lineage: Archaea; Thermoproteati; Candidatus Bathyarchaeota. The record is from RNAcentral.